GAUGAACGCUAGCGGGAGGCCUAACACAUGCAAGCCGAGCGGUAUUUGUUCUUCGGAACAGAGAGAGCGGCGCACGGGUGCGGAACACGUGUGCAACCUGCCUUUAUCUGGGGGAUAGCCUUUCGAAAGGAAGAUUAAUACCCCAUAAUAUAUUGAGUGGCAUCAUUUGAUAUUGAAAACUCCGGUGGAUAGAGAUGGGCACGCGCAAGAUUAGAUAGUUGGUGAGGUAACGGCUCACCAAGUCAAUGAUCUUUAGGGCGCCUGAGAGGGUGAUCCCCCACACUGGUACUGAGACACGGACCAGACUCCUACGGGAGGCAGCAGUGAGGAAUAUUGGACAAUGGGUUAGCGCCUGAUCCAGCCAUCCCGCGUGAAGGACGACGGCCCUAUGGGUUGUAAACUUCUUUUGUAUAGGGAUAAACCUACUCUCGUGAGAGUAGCUGAAGGUACUAUACGAAUAAGCACCGGCUAACUCCGUG
Molecule: ribosomal RNA, 479 nt
Filed under: uncultured bacterium
Lineage: Bacteria
Description: partial 16S ribosomal RNA
Rfam family: Bacterial small subunit ribosomal RNA
Source: RNAcentral